UACGGAGGGUGCAAGCGUUAUCCGGAUUCACUGGGUUUAAAGGGAGCGUAGGUGGGGUGGUAAGUCAGUGGUGAAAUCUCCGGGCUUAACUCGGAAACUGCCGUUGAUACUAUCAUUCUUGAAUAUUGUGGAGGUAAGCGGAAUAUGUCAUGUAGCGGUGAAAUGCUUAGAUAUGACAUAGAACACCAAUAGCGAAGGCAGCUUGCUACACAAUUAUUGACACUGAGGCUCGAAAGCGUGGGGAUCAAACAGG
Molecule: ribosomal RNA, 253 nt
Filed under: uncultured bacterium
Lineage: Bacteria
Description: partial 16S ribosomal RNA
Rfam family: Bacterial small subunit ribosomal RNA
Source: RNAcentral